GAGAGAUACAGCAUUAAGGUUAGAGGAAAGUGUUGUUUUUGUUGUUGGGUUUUGUUUCUUGUUUUAAACAAGGGGCCCAUUAUAGUACAUUUGUUUAGUGGAAGGCACCUGCAGACAGGGGAAUUGAACAGAAGCAUGUCUUUGUGAUGGGGAGGGGGAGAUUAUUUACAGAUCAAGAUCCAGUGGUACACGGAUAAGCCAGCAUGAUGAGAACAAUUUGACAGAAAAAAAGGGUGAAUGAAAACAGGUGAAAGAUGAGAGUGAAGCAGAGGAUAGGUUCUUUCUCUGUGAGGCUAAGAAGAAAAGGAGUGAGUAUAAAGGAGAAGAGCUAAAGAAAACAAGGGCUUCAGCAGUCCUGUUUAAGUAACAGAUGGUGUCAUUUGCCAAGACUGAGUUGUUGGCCCAAACUGAGGCCUGAGGAAAAGCAACCAUGUUGAAUACUCCUGUGAGUCAUAGGCGAUGAUGAAAGGAUUGCUGAACACCAGUGAGGUCGGGUGGAGGUUGAAUAGCACAGAUUUGUAGAAGAGCCUGUCAACCCCGGUUUUGUAGUUGCUCCAGCAAUAGCUGGCAGCUCAGGAAAAGAGCAAAAAAAAAAUAAAUAAAUAAAUAAAAAAAAAUGCAGACGGUGAGGCUUUUUCAGGGUGAAGAUUAGCAAGGAGGGCAAAGCUGAGGGUUAGCAGAGCCAGUUCGUAAGAUCCUUGCAGGAGCACCUGGAGUGGCUGCCCAGGGGGCAGAGGCUGGGUAUGAAGGCAGGAGAGGCUGGAGAGGAGUUAAUAAAUUAGGGAACAGAAAGUGCCUGAGGUACUACAGGUCUCAGCUAGGAUGAAGAAUACAGUCCACAGGCACAAGAAAGAAAAUAAGGGAGAAAAAGCACAUCUUGACUGUGGAAAUCAUAUUGAAACACUGAAGUGCUUACUCGUGCUGCUGCUGUCAGUCAUACUCGUCACACUUAGUGACUGUCCUCAAUCCAAGCGGAAAACCCAUUCUCAGUUAACGUGGAUCAGUUGGAAAGAAAAUAAACCACUCUGCUGCUCUGAAGACAUGAAGACAUGUUCACUCUCACACAGGUUAUCUGGAUGCUCAGUGGGAAUGGAGGGCAGCCCAAGAAGGUUCUGAGACCCAUGGAAGUUUGAUUAUAACACCAUAUUGUCAAUGUUCUGUAUUUUGUAUGAAAACAA
RNAcentral lists this long non-coding RNA (1178 nucleotides) under Capra hircus (goat). Its description in RNAcentral is "lncRNA (ENSCHIG00000005905.1)". Lineage: Eukaryota; Metazoa; Chordata; Mammalia; Artiodactyla; Bovidae. The record is from RNAcentral.